RNAcentral lists this long non-coding RNA (451 nucleotides) under Carica papaya (papaya). RNAcentral describes it as "long non-coding RNA (CPAP_LNC007688)". Lineage: Eukaryota; Viridiplantae; Streptophyta; Magnoliopsida; Brassicales; Caricaceae. The record is from RNAcentral.
UAAGACAAAUAUGUGUGAGAAAUGCGAAGAUGAAGGAGAUGUAGCAGGAGGUGGCGCAACAAUGAAGAAGGGAAAUGAAGCAGGAGACACAAAAAUGAAGAGGUAAAAUGAAGCAUCUGGAGGCACGACAAUGUGGGGAAAUGAAGGAGGAUGUGGCAUGGCGAUGAAGGAAGCUAAGGAUGAGAGAACAACCUACGGAAGAUGAAGGAGGCUACAACUUUCAUUAACAAUGAGAAACUAAGCCAUUGGCGAAGAAUGAGAAGAUAGUUGUAGCUUGUGGGAUAGAUGAUGAAGGAAGCUGCAGAUGAAAUUAGGUCAAAGUUAUUUUUUUUUUUUCAAAUAGAGGUAAUGGGGUAAUGACUAAUUAGUUAGAUUAUUAGAACCAACUAAUGAGUAUUAAAUCUAUAAUUACGAAAGAAUUAAGUUAGGAGCUAUACAAAGAGAAAUUGUU